GAUUUCUGGCUUGUACCAUUUGGCCGGCCACGGUUUCGUGUGUUAGUGCUUGAUGUUCUGGCCAUCCUUCCAAAUGCUGCGCGUCCUUCUUCACUGAUGGGCGCGCGGUUUUGGAUCUUUUACUUUGAAUAAAUUAGAGUGUUUCAAGCAGGCUUUAUGCUAUGAAUACAUUAGCAUGGAAUAAUGAUUUAGGACUUCGGUUCUAUUUUGUUGGUUUCUAGGACUGAAGUAAUGAUUGAUAGGGACAGUUGGGGGUGCUAGUAUUCAGCGGCCAGAGGUGAAAUUCUCGGAUUCGCUGAAGACUAACUUAUGCGAAAGCAUU
This 322-nucleotide ribosomal RNA is filed under the name uncultured Sandonidae. Its description in RNAcentral is "SSU rRNA". The stretch from base 112 to 322 matches the Rfam family "Eukaryotic small subunit ribosomal RNA", at positions 744 to 955 of the family's 1831-position model. The record is from RNAcentral. Lineage: Eukaryota; Cercozoa; Glissomonadida; Viridiraptoridae.